CUCCAAAUGAAUUGGAAAAACUGAAUUAUUUCCCCCAACGAAACAAGCAAAUAAAAAUAUGUAAAAGGAAUUUAUCUUACAGAUGACAAUUCCUUCAAAUAGGAUAAUAAAACACUUCAUUUUAUGUCACCUUUUAGCUCUAAAACUAUACAUUGAACUUUAAAUAUAUAUCGUACGAUAUCGACAUUAACAUACACUUAAAUAAUUCCAACAUUUAAUAAGUAUAGUUAUACUAUUGAACAAGAAAAAUGAACUUAAAACUGAAACAAACUGGAGGAUGCCCAACACUGCGCGUCAGAAAAUCAGAAUUACUUAAUGAAAAAACCUAAUGGGGAGUUCUAAAAGGGAGUUCACACAAGAAUGAAGUCGUUUUAUGGCUCGACAUCAUACGUUCACGAAUUGUGCAGUUUACAGUCAUUUUCGUGAAUGGAUCCAAGUACAAGUUAUAGCGAGUUAAAAAAACUCUACAAAACAUUCGAAAGUUUUAAGUGAAUUUGAAAUAGCGCCCAAGUGCAUAUACAAUAUACAUGUGUUUAUAUAUUACCUUUCCGUGGAUUUCAUUACAAAUACAAAACUGCCAUUGUGGAACAACUUUAACACCACAGAUUAUCAGAGAUUAUGAAACUGCAGUAAUAAUAAUUAGGCCAAUAAACAUUCAUGAUCAACUACUAAAAUUGCAGGACUAAUACUCUAGCUUCUGCACAAAAUAUUAGUAUGGGAAAAUGCUUUGGGACACUUUAACGACGUAUACAAACAGAUCGACAUUAUCUUUGUGGUGUCAUGUUGAAAAUCUGAUCAAUGCGGCAAUGGAUGAUCAGUGGCAGUUAAAAUUAUUCUCAUAUUAAAUUCAACAAAACAAUUUCGUCAUAUAAUUGCUAAAGUAAAACAACAUUUAUAUGGCAUCAUGGAGAUAGCUGUUUCGUUGAAUAACAAGGUUUGCUGUCACGACGGAGAACUUUGUCGGAACUGAUAUAUAUAUACAUGUAUGGAGAGAAUUCAGUACGUACUCGUUAUUUUCAACGCCACAUAUACUCGAGAAUUAUAUUCGCGUUCGUUCUUCUUCGUUGAAAAGAUUAAUCGACAUAUAGUUGUAUCUAUUUACAGUUUACAGACACGAUUCAAUUACAUGUAGACGUGGGUGUUGAUGUUACUGAUCAAUUUCGUCUGCGAUCGAGAACUUGAGUAUAGUACCGAUAUAGCAAAUCUGAGAAUAUUUCAAUAUUAAACUGGAUACUGGCGCUUAUUGUUAUAUGGAAAAGGGAUAUAUUGGUUCAAUUUUAUGAUACUGUGCUAACAUAGAUUAUGUUGUCAAAACGUCCAUUGGUUUGCUCCAGGAUUUCAUAACGCCGAUACGUCGUUCUCAGAUUAUUUUCAUCACUUAAAAACCGGUAAACAUGCUAUUUUCUGCUGACUAAUUUCUGAUUUUUGAGCUAAAAUUGGAAUUGAAGAUAUUGUUACGUGGUCUCGAAUGAAUUGGAAAGUUAAGAAACGUUCAACAGAGAAUUAGCAGUGUUGUGAAACAUUUGAAAUCACUAGUUAUUCUGUGCCUUGCUGUUCCUGACAAAAACUGAAUGACAAAUUUGCAUCCUCGAGUAAAUGAACAAGUACUGCACGUAUCGCAUGCUUGUAUUAGUAACUGUAUUAAAUGAAAUACUGUAAUUUGUCCGUUAAUUGGAA
Non-coding RNA from Paramuricea clavata, 1677 nucleotides. NCBI's taxonomy places the organism in Eukaryota, Metazoa, Cnidaria, Anthozoa, Malacalcyonacea, Plexauridae. The record is from the annotation of a GenBank genome assembly.